Molecule: ribosomal RNA, 211 nt
Filed under: uncultured Pseudomonadota bacterium
Lineage: Bacteria; Pseudomonadati; Pseudomonadota
Description: uncultured proteobacterium partial 16S ribosomal RNA
Rfam family: Bacterial small subunit ribosomal RNA
Source: RNAcentral
GCCUACCAAGACUGUGAUCAAUAGCUGAUUUGAGAGGAUGAUCAGCCACAUUGGGACUGAGACACGGCCCAAACUCCUACGGGAGGCAGCAGUGGGGAAUCUUGCACAAUGGAGGAAACUCUGAUGCAGCGAUGCCGCGUGAGUGAAGAAGGCCUUUGGGUUGUAAAGCUCUUUCGUCGGGGAAGAAAAUGACUGUACCCGAAUAAGAAGG